Molecule: ribosomal RNA, 501 nt
Filed under: Raorchestes johnceei
Lineage: Eukaryota; Metazoa; Chordata; Amphibia; Anura; Rhacophoridae
Description: partial large subunit ribosomal RNA
Rfam family: Bacterial large subunit ribosomal RNA
Source: RNAcentral
UUCAACGGCCGCGGUACCCUAACCGUGCGAAGGUAGCAUAAUCACUUGUUCCUUAAAUAGGGACUCGUAUCAACGGCAUCACGAGGGUUGCACUGUCUCCCCCCUCCAAUCAGUGAAACUGAUCUCCCCAUGAAAAAGUGGGGAUACCAUUAUAAGACGAGAAGACCCCAUGGAGCUUUAAAACCCAAUAGCAACUUAGUAAAAACCUCCUUCCAGCUACAAAACUAUGCUAACGGCUUUAGGUUGGGGCGACCGCGGAGUAAAAACUAACCUCCACAACGAAAAGAUUUAAAUGUUUACCCAAGAGCUACCACUCUAAGAAUUAGAAAACAAACGGACUGACCCGAUAUCGAUCAAUGAACCAAGUUACCCUGGGGAUAACAGCGCAAUCUACUUCAAGAGUCCAUAUCGACAAGAAGGCUUACGACCUCGAUGUUGGAUCAGGGUAUCCCAGUGGUGCAGCCGCUACUGAAGGUUCGUUUGUUCAACGAUUAAAACCCU